Monopterus albus (swamp eel) is the source of this 552-nucleotide long non-coding RNA. RefSeq lists it as uncharacterized. The transcript is spliced from 3 exons. NCBI's taxonomy places the organism in Eukaryota, Metazoa, Chordata, Actinopteri, Synbranchiformes, Synbranchidae. The record is from RefSeq and is a predicted model, not a curated record.
GCUACAGUUUCUGAAAAUUAACUUUAUUAUCAACCAUGUGGAGGCUAACAAAAUGGACACUUACUCCAGCAGACGACAGAACAUUUGAAGGACUUGAGAGACCACUGACCCGAGAGAAACAGUGAGCAGAAUGAAAGGUUCCUGAGUUAGAGGCCUUGCAGCACAGCACAACAUGACAGAGUGGGUUUCCACAGAGAGGAGUGAGGACCACCCACCCUUUUGCCCAAUGGAGUCCAAUUUUCCUCACAACGCCUCAACAAAGAAUGUACUUUUCCCUAAGAACUGAGAGUAUCAUCAAUCAUGCCAAAUACCAAUUUUAAUGAAUGCCUACAUCAGCCCAGUAACACUCUUUGUUUCCAGGCAAAGGAUGCGAAGCUGCAGCACAACCAGAAUGCGAUUUUUAUAAUUGUGAUGAUUUUCUUUUCACCCAGGAGUGUUUUCAUGGUCACAAGCUUUGCUGUUGACUUCACUGACAGGCAGCCUGAUGACACUGUCCAGGCAGGCUCAUAUUGUGUAUUUACUUACAACCAUAAUUAUAAAAACUUGAAAAGC